This 382-nucleotide ribosomal RNA is filed under the name Staphylococcus aureus. RNAcentral describes it as "partial 23S ribosomal RNA". It matches the Rfam family "Bacterial large subunit ribosomal RNA", at positions 2543 to 2925 of the family's 2925-position model. The record is from RNAcentral. Lineage: Bacteria; Bacillati; Bacillota; Bacilli; Caryophanales; Staphylococcaceae.
CAUCCUGGGGCUGUAGUCGGUCCCAAGGGUUGGGCUGUUCGCCCAUUAAAGCGGUACGCGAGCUGGGUUCAGAACGUCGUGAGACAGUUCGGUCCCUAUCCGUCGUGGGCGUAGGAAAUUUGAGAGGAGCUGUCCUUAGUACGAGAGGACCGGGAUGGACAUACCUCUGGUGUACCAGUUGUCGUGCCAACGGCAUAGCUGGGUAGCUAUGUGUGGACGGGAUAAGUGCUGAAAGCAUCUAAGCAUGAAGCCCCCCUCAAGAUGAGAUUUCCCAACUUCGGUUAUAAGAUCCCUCAAAGAUGAUGAGGUUAAUAGGUUCGAGGUGGAAGCAUGGUGACAUGUGGAGCUGACGAAUACUAAUCGAUCGAAGACUUAAUCAAAA